CAAAUGUAAUCAUGAUACUGAAGUUUAGGUUUUCCUAGAAUGGACACAUUCGUUGUUUUAAUUUGUACCACAACCAUAGAAGUGACUAAUUGAUUUUUUUAAUUGUUUCAGAUCCAAAACUUACAGAAGGAAAUUGUGAAAAAAGAAAAAUUACUGAACUCUGUUGAGAUGAAGGUAAAUAAUUAGGUGAAAGUAAAUAGUUAGAUGAAGGUAAAUAGUUAGGAGGGCUAUUCUGUCUGGAUUUUUUUUUUUUGUUUUUCAUUACCAUAUGAUAUCUAUUGCCAUUGUCAUUAUUUCAUCUCCAGCUGAUCAAUGGUAAAGCAAAACUAGAAAAUAAAACAAAAGCUCAAGAGGAAUGUCUAAGAGAGGUCAGUAAUAACAACAGUUAGUUUAAUUUAAUAUAAUUUUAUAUUAAUUUAACCUGCUGGUCUUUAAAUGCAUCAAAACAUAUAAAAAUAUGUUUUUACCAAAUCUUUUUAGAAUAGGAACUUAAAGAAACAACUCGCAACAGAAAGUGUGAAUUUCCAUAAACUUGAGAAUGAGGUAUUUUAUGUUCUUCUUUUCUUUAGCUAUAGGUCAAAUUCAUUUUAUAUUAAAUCUAUAAUAUUUUUAUUAAUUUGUUUAUUAACCAGAAGCUAUUUGGUUGGGUUUAUUCUUUUAACUGUAAAUAUACUGUCACAUAGAUUACAUUCCACACAUUGUUCUUAUUUUCACUUAAGUUGAAUGAAAUCAAAGAACAGUUUAUAAAAACUGAAAGUCUGCAUAAUGAGGAGCUUAAGAAGUUACAGGAGGACAUUGAAGUCAAGACCGCCACUGAAGCAGAGCUCCAACAGAAGGUACAAAAGCUGAGCCUGGAAGCUUUAGAGGCUACUAAGAGUAAAGAGGAGGUGGAGCUCAAAUGCCAGCAAAAGAUAUCUGACAUGGUAGCCUUAAUGGAAAAGCAUAAGAAUCAGUAUGACAAGAUGGUUCAAGAAAAAGAUGCUGAACUUCAUAGCACAAGAAGAAAAGAAGCUGAAAUAAAUGCCAAUAAUACUUCACUGGAGCUGGAACUGUCAGAGAUGAAAAGAGAGAAUUCACAUCUAAAGCAGCAACUUCAAAAUGAAUCAAAUGAAAGGGACAAACUGAAGCAGGAAAUUAAGGCUUUGAAUACAAAAAUUGAGUCUGUACAUCAAGACAUGCAACAGAAGAGAUCAGAACAAGGCCCCAAAGAAAUUAGGUGUACUGCAAGCCAAAACCCAGCAGCUUCACUGAAAUCCAUGAAGCGAUCAGUGUUCAGUUUUUCAGAAGAGCCUGAAAAUGACAGUAUUAUUAAAACACCAUCUCUGAGUUCAGUCAGUAAGAGGCUGUCUUCAACACCACAAAUUAAGGUAGGAUAACAGAAGUCCUAGUGUUAAUUCUGACAAGAAUUUUAAUUGUAUUAAGCCCUGUACCUAGGGAGAUGUAUUUUACUGUAAAAAAUAUUGGUACAAAGCUAAAACUGUAAGAAAACUGUUUACUUUGUCAAAGCAUUCAAGGACAGAAAUCUUAAAGACUCCAAACUGGAGUUCAAUCAAAAAGGCAACAGGAUGUAUUAAGGUAAGGAAUACUUUUACUACUAGCAGGGCUUCAACAAAAAUGUGCUUUUAUUAAACUAAAAAAAUAAUCAAAUCAGGACAUGGUUUCUUUAAAGCAGGUCAAUGAAAAACUAUCUUACCAUAAAAUAAAAAGGAAACCGCACAGAAAAACA
This 1726-nucleotide long non-coding RNA is filed under the name Scleropages formosus (Asian bonytongue). RNAcentral describes it as "lncRNA (ENSSFOG00015028356.1)". The record is from RNAcentral. Lineage: Eukaryota; Metazoa; Chordata; Actinopteri; Osteoglossiformes; Osteoglossidae.